RNAcentral lists this ribosomal RNA (305 nucleotides) under uncultured bacterium. RNAcentral describes it as "bacterial SSU rRNA". It matches the Rfam family "Bacterial small subunit ribosomal RNA", at positions 335 to 656 of the family's 1533-position model. The record is from RNAcentral.
UACCUACGGGGCGCAGCAGUGGGGAAUAUUGCACAAUGGGGGGAACCCUGAUGCAGCGACGCCGCGUGAGUGAAGAAGUAUUUCGGUACGUAAAGCUCUAUCAGCAGGGAAGAAAAAAGGACGGUACCUGAGUAAGAAGCCCCGGCUAACCACGUGCCAGCAGCCGCGGUAAUACGUAGGGGGCAAGCGUUAUCCGGAUUUAUUGGGUGUAAAGGGUGCGUAGACGGGUAUACAAGUUAGUAGUGAAAUCCCUCGGCUUAACUGAGGAACUGCUACUAAAACUAUAUAUCUUGAGUACUGGAGGG